RNAcentral lists this ribosomal RNA (490 nucleotides) under uncultured bacterium. Its description in RNAcentral is "partial 16S ribosomal RNA". It matches the Rfam family "Bacterial small subunit ribosomal RNA", at positions 30 to 507 of the family's 1533-position model. The record is from RNAcentral.
AUUGAACGCUGGCGGCAGGCCUAACACAUGCAAGUCGAACGGUAACAGGAAGCAGCUUGCUGCUUUGCUGACGAGUGGCGGACGGGUGAGUAAUGUCUGGGAAACUGCCCGAUGGAGGGGGAUAACUACUGGAAACGGUAGCUAAUACCGGAUAACGUCGCAAGACCAAAGAGGGGGACCUUAGGGCCUCUUGCCAUCGGAUGUGCCCAGAUGGGAUUAGCUAGUAGGUGGGGUAACGGCUCACCUAGGCGACGAUCCCUAGCUGGUCUGAGAGGAUGACCAGCCACACUGGAACUGAGACACGGUCCAGACUCCUACGGGAGGCAGCAGUGGGGAAUAUUGCACAAUGGGCGCAAGCCUGAUGCAGCCAUGCCGCGUGUAUGAAGAAGGCCUUCGGGUUGUAAAGUACUUUCAGCGGGGAGGAAGGGAGUAAAGUUAAUACCUUUGCUCAUUGACGUUACCCGCAGAAGAAGCACCGGCUAACUCCGUG